This 253-nucleotide ribosomal RNA is filed under the name uncultured bacterium. RNAcentral's name for it is "partial 16S ribosomal RNA". It matches the Rfam family "Bacterial small subunit ribosomal RNA", at positions 524 to 776 of the family's 1533-position model. The record is from RNAcentral.
UACGGAGGAUCCGAGCGUUAUCCGGAUUUAUUGGGUUUAAAGGGUGCGUAGGCGGUUUGAUAAGUUAGAGGUGAAAUGUCGGGGCUCAACCCCGAAACUGCCUCUAAUACUGUUGGACUAGAGAAUAGUUGCGGUGGGCGGAAUGUAUGGUGUAGCGGUGAAAUGCUUAGAGAUCAUACAGAACACCGAUUGCGAAGGCAGCUUACCAAACUAUAUCUGACGUUGAGGCACGAAAGCGUGGGUAGCAAACAGG